Molecule: transfer RNA, 68 nt
Filed under: Chrysotus gramineus
Lineage: Eukaryota; Metazoa; Arthropoda; Insecta; Diptera; Dolichopodidae
Description: tRNA-Tyr
Rfam family: tRNA
About the family: Transfer RNA (tRNA) molecules are approximately 80 nucleotides in length. Their secondary structure includes four short double-helical elements and three loops (D, anti-codon, and T loops).
Source: RNAcentral
GAUUAAAUGGCUGAAAAUUUAGGCGAUAGAUUGUAAAUUUAUUUAUGAAAAUUAAUUUUCUUUAAUCA